This 442-nucleotide ribosomal RNA is filed under the name uncultured bacterium. Its description in RNAcentral is "partial 16S ribosomal RNA". It matches the Rfam family "Bacterial small subunit ribosomal RNA", at positions 339 to 795 of the family's 1533-position model. The record is from RNAcentral.
CUACGGGGGGCACCAGUGGGGAAUAUUGGGCAAUGGGCGAAAGCCUGACCCAGCAACGCCGCGUGAUUGAGGAAGGUCUUCGGAUUGUAAAGAUCUGUCCUUGGGGACGAAAAAAAUGACGGUACCCAAGGAGGAAGCCCCGGCUAACUACGUGCCAGCAGCCGCGGUAAUACGUAGGGGGCGAGCGUUGUCCGGAAUUACUGGGCGUAAAGGGUGCGCAGGCGGCGCUUUAAGUCAGAUGUGAAAUAUUCGGGCUCAACCCGAAGGGUGCAUUUGAAACUGGAGUGCUUGAGUGCAGGAGAGGAAAGUGGAAUUCCUAGUGUAGCGGUGAAAUGCGUAGAUAUUAGGAGGAACACCAGUGGCGAAGGCGACUUUCUGGACUGUAACUGACGCUGAGGCACGAAAGCGUGGGGAGCAAACAGGAUUAGAUACCCCCGUAGUC